This is a non-coding RNA of Phalacrocorax carbo (great cormorant), 464 nucleotides long. NCBI's taxonomy places the organism in Eukaryota, Metazoa, Chordata, Aves, Suliformes, Phalacrocoracidae. The record is from RefSeq and is a predicted model, not a curated record.
CGGAAAAGGCCAGCGGCCGCCCCUUCCGGCAACCAUUUCGCCCUCACCCAUAAUGGCCGCUCUUCAAGCAGUCGCAUGCCCUGCCUCGACAUGGCUGCCGUUGCCGUGGUGCCGGGGAGGCAGUCCAACGGCGGAGUCUGGUGGGUGAUGAAGCCUUCCUGCCCCUAAUUAAAUUUGAACACACUCAUCAAAUUUCAUUGCAACUGGCUGAAGGAGUCUUUCAGGUCUCACAGAAGCUGUUUUAAAGAAAUAAGUGUUUAAGGAUGAAAGUCAAGUGUUCCCUGAAAAGCAGGCAAGUGAGCAAAGUAAGAGCAGAGAAGACUAUACAGAAAGGCUUGUCACAAAAUUAAAAUUACCUAAAUAUUUGUUCUGAGAGAAAAGGCCUUCUGGCCCAUUCCUUUUAAUUUAUUAAACAGCCAAAUUGUUCUGCUGGCUGAAACUCCAUCUGCAAUGUAAUACUGGGU